RNAcentral lists this unclassified non-coding RNA (214 nucleotides) under Hevea brasiliensis (rubber tree). The record is from RNAcentral. Lineage: Eukaryota; Viridiplantae; Streptophyta; Magnoliopsida; Malpighiales; Euphorbiaceae.
GUUUGGUUUGUAAAAUUGUUGAUUUUGAUUUUUUAGUUUUUCUAAUUUGGUUCAGUUCGAAAACUGAACCAAUCGAUUCCAUACCCUUAGUAAGAAUAUUGGGAGGGGAUACAAAUGAGUUUAUACAAAUGAGUUUCCCAUAGCAGUGAUCAUUUGAGUUUAUACGUAUUUAUUAUUUAUUAUGGAUGAGCUAACUAGUCAUAUUCAAGAUAAU